CUGCGUUUGAACUCGAUAAAACUCGCCUGUUCGCAAUUUCCUUUGUGACAAUCAACCUUUUCUCCAUCGCUUCUGUUCGGCUCGAGACGCCAGCCAUGUGACUAUCCUGAGGGCCGCGUGCGGAGGUUGUCUCUUCGCACCCCUUUGUUUUCAAGCGCGCAGACUUGGCUGAAGGCAAAGGUUCUGGGGAGCUUUCCACCACGUCCUGGAGAAUGGUUCGUUUCUCAGAUUCCUGUCCUCGUGUCUCUCUUUUUGGCAGGCCCCCAAAACCUCUAUGUGUCUGGUCGUCAUUCGGCAGACUCCAUGCCCUGUAAUCUGCGCCUCUCCGGGUGCCUAGAGUGAGGUUCCUCAGUUCUUCGUCUUCUGCUGGACAGACGGCCGCUGAGAGAAAAGGACUUCGGGGUGUCGCAGUCAUCUUGUUUGGGCUCAACCGACUGCCAGGAUGCUGCGAGUCCCCACAACGCGACGGAGGCGAAUCGUCGGCUCGACGACCUCCUGGAAGGCCGCGGGGAACUUGGCAUUCUUGAGGGAAACCGGCCCGGAGGCGCGGUUGUGUCCUGCGACAGGUGUCUAGUUUCUUUUCGUCACCACCAUCUGACUUUUCCACGCUUGUUUUGUCGCCACCAUGCAGGCUACGGACCACACACGCGUCGUCGAUGCAGAGGCGUUUUUGAGGGUUCUGAGCUUCUGAUUUCUUUCUUUCCCCGCUGCGAGAAGCCUGAUGAGAGUCGCGAGACUCGCAUUUGUCUCUUGAUCGGUGGGGCCCUGGUUCUUCGUGGUCGGUUCCUGCGGACUCGUCUCUCCCUGUACUUGCUGGUGAAGCGGACUUUCUCCUCCGGGAUUUCACAUCUCUUUCCAGAGAAGGCCUCCGUCUCGUGGACGAAUGUUUCCUUCUUCUACUGUCUUUCUGGUUUGUGGAGCUCGCCUCUCGAGUGCGUCGAGGCUCGUUGUCGUGAAAGCCAGAGUCUCCAGCAAGGGCGAUCCAGCCUGUUUCGCUUCUACCCCUCGCUAUGCCAGAACUACUUUGCAGCAAACUGGUCGGAGCUCGACCCCUCAACUCAUCGGCGGUGGUGCUCCUCCGAUCGAGGUCGCGGCAGCGCGUCGCCUUCUGACUCGGGGAGAGACGGGUGCGCGCAAUCUGGAGAUCACCGUUUUCGCAGCCAGCCGAGCGGCACUUGCGGAAAUGAUUAUGGGCCUCAUCAAGCGCUUUGAAGAGUCCCUGCCGGAUGCUUGUAAGGUCGUCGACGCGAAAUACUUUGCCUCCAAUUGCUAGUUUUGCCUCUAGGUUUACGGGUUUGCUGAGGAGCGAAGAACUUGAUUGAAUAGUCGAGGACACAGGCCCCCGCGUCCUUCUCUCCUCUGUGGCGCCCGUGCGCUUGACGUUUUUCCUCUCGAUUCGCGGCUUGCUCUUCUGUGGGGCUUCCAGAGACCCCUCGCCCUCCUCGAUCACCAGCGGCGAGUCACGCAAGCUGCUCUUACUGCUUUCCCGGCUGGUUCCUUCUAGGCGACUCCAUGCCCUGUCCAGGGCCUCCUCUGCCGCGGCGGAGAGAGCGCUACAGUAGCUGUUUUCGUCGCUGUCUUCAAGCCGUCUUUGUCGUUCCGCAUGGGUAUUCUUCGCACCCUUCUUCCGAUUCUUCCCGUCCAGUUUCCAGUCUUCCUCUUGCAUCUGGUCCUCCACCUUGUGGUCGCGACCCUCACGGGCAACCUUCUUGUCUCCGCCUCUCUCCAGCGCCGAGAGUUCCCCUUGCCCUCCGUUUCGUAUUCUUCUCAGUUGCGCCUGCAGGUCCGCAAUGACGCGGUGGCUUGCGCUGGGGUGCGACUGGUCCGAUCGAUUACUGGUGCGUUUUUGCGAUGACGGAGCGGCAGAAGACAGCAGGAGAGAAGACGAUUGGCUAACGUUUAGGUUUUUCAGGCGGACACUGGAAGGGACCAAGGAGGGAUCGUGGGGAUCCGCCUCGGACACCUGCAACCCACUGCGAAGAGUGGUUCCCCGUGGCGCUUCCCUUCCCGGCGGAGAAAAAGGCGAGAACGAAUAAAAUGCUGUUUUCUCUGGAAACAGACCCCCGCGCGACAGACUGGACUCGACACUCUCCUUUCCCCUCGGCGCGGAACCCCUGUUCGGGGAGCCGCCUUGUUCUGCAUGUUUCACUUCCAGAAGUCGAGUGUCGUUUUUUGUUCCCGAAUCGCGAGUUUUCUCACUCAGAGAAUGCCUGCAUUUCGCUACCAUUGUUUCUUUGAGUGAAGCCUGCCGUCCAUCAAAUGGACUUUUCUUACGCCUACUCGUUUCUGCCGCGACUCCUUGACAGUCUGGUCCUGAUGGUCCGAUGAUACAUGCUUCUCCUCCCUUUCCUCUCUCCUGGUCUGCUGGAGUGUAGUCUCCCGUAUAAUGCGGAGGAAAGGGGGCUGCAAAUGGAGCAUCGGAUCCUGCAGUUUCCGAAGGAGCACAAGGCCUGCGGGGCGUCUGAUGAGACACGCCAGCGUCAGGAGAGCAGGAUGAACAACUACCAGACGCAGUGCAGAGAUGAACAGCAGACAGGGACGGAAGCGAGGAACCGGAGUCGUUCGAGCAUUUGUCCACUUUAGACGGAGCUGUUUCCUUUUGUUCCUUUCCUUCCUCUUGGAGAUGCAUUCGCAGGCGAGCGCGCAUCUCUGCAACAGUGGCCGCGUGGCUAGAAGCGCCAGAGAAAGAGGAGGGUGGACGAGAAGAAUGCGAUGAAAAGGAAAACGCUUCCAAUCCAGAGGCCUCUACUGGGGGGCUGAGGCAGCAGCGAAGCGUCCGCACAGAAAAAGGUGAAUUUACGUUUUUAGUGGAAAGAGAACGGUGACCGGCGGUCGGCGCGUCCGUCGGGAUCGAGCCUGCGAGAGUGAAGUUUUCGGCUCGCCGAAAGGGUAUGUUCGCGGAACGCUGACUGUUAGACGACACUGGAGGAACACGGCUUGUCGAUGGGGAAACGAUGGACCCUCCCAGGGGGCUACACGGUCCAGGAGAGGCAGGUCCACGCCGAUGUGCCGUUGCGACACCUGGCCCAGAGUCCAGGGGAGAAGAGAAUUUAGAACUGGAAGGAACAGCCGCCAAAUCCGGCAUUGUACAAUAAAACGAAAGGAAGUUAACA
This 3113-nucleotide long non-coding RNA is filed under the name Toxoplasma gondii VEG. The record is from RNAcentral. Lineage: Eukaryota; Apicomplexa; Conoidasida; Eucoccidiorida; Sarcocystidae.